CAGUCGCCGCGGUAACACGUAGGGUGCAAGCGUUAAUCGGAAUUAUUGGGCGUAAAGCGAGUGCAGACGGUUACUUAAGCCAGAUGUGAAACCCCCGAGCUUAACUUGGGACGUGCAUUUGGAACUGGGUGACUAGAGUGUGUCAGAGGGAGGUAGAAUUCCACAUGUAGCGGUGGAAUGCGUAGAGAUGUGGAGGAAUACCGAUGGCGAAGGCAGCCUCCUGGGCCAAUACUGACGCUCAUGCACGAAAGCGUGGGGAGCAAACAGGAUUAGAUACCCGCGUAGUCCCUGUCUCUUAUAC
This 301-nucleotide ribosomal RNA is filed under the name uncultured bacterium. RNAcentral's name for it is "partial 16S ribosomal RNA". It matches the Rfam family "Bacterial small subunit ribosomal RNA", at positions 509 to 807 of the family's 1533-position model. The record is from RNAcentral.